This 861-nucleotide long non-coding RNA is filed under the name Homo sapiens (human). RNAcentral describes it as "non-protein coding lnc-PTPN13-1:1". Lineage: Eukaryota; Metazoa; Chordata; Mammalia; Primates; Hominidae. The record is from RNAcentral.
AUGGUGGGUGAAAAGGUUGAGAAGCCAGAUCCUAAAGAGAAGAAACCAGAAGCCAAGAAGGCUGAUGCUGGUGGCAAGGUAAAAAGGGGCAGCCUCAAGACUAAAAAGCCCAAGAGGGAGAAGCCCCAUUGCAGCUGAAAUCCUGUCUUUGUCAGAGGAAUUGGCAGGUAUUCCCAAUCAGCCAUGUAUUCCAGAAAGGCCAUGUACAAGAGGAAGCACUCAGCUGCUGAAUCCAAGGUUGAAAAGAAAAAGAAGUUCUUGCAACUAUUACAAAACCAGUUGGUGGUGACAAGAACGGUGGUACCCAGGUGGUUAAACAUCGCAAAAUGCCUAGAUAUUAUCCUACUGAAGAUGUGCCUCAAAAGCUGUUGAGCCACGGCAAAAAAACCGUUCAGUCAGCACAUGAGAAAACUGUGAGCCAGCAUCACCCCUGGGACCAUUCUGAUCACCCUCACUGAGCACCACAGAGGCAAAAGGGUGGUUUUCCUGAAGCUGCUGGCUAGUGGCUUGUUACUUGUGACUGGACCUCCGGUCUUCAACCAAGAUCCUCUACAAAGAACACGCCAGAAAUCUGUCACUGCCACCUCAACCAAAAUUGAUAAUCAGCAAUGUAAAAAUCCCAAAACAUCCUGCUGACGCUUACUUCAAGAAGCAGCAGCUGUGGAAGCCCAGAAACAGGAAGGUGAGAUCUUCAACACAGAAAAAGAGAACUACGAGAUUACAGAGCAGCACCAAAUCGAUCAGAAAGCUGUGGACUCACAAAUUUUACCAAAAAUCAAAGCUAUUCCUCAGCUCCAGGGCUACCUGUGAUCUGUGUUUGCCCUGAUGAAUGGAAUCUAUCCUCACAAAUUGGUGUUCUGA